GACGAACGCUGGCGGCGUGCUUAACACAUGCAAGUCGAACGGUGAAGCGCCUUCCUUUUUGGUGGGUGUGGAUGAGUGGCGAACGGGUGAGUAACACGUGAGUAACCUGCCCCCUUCUUCUGGAUAACCGCAUGAAAGUGUGGCUAAUACGGGAUAUUCUGGGUCUGUCGCAUGAUGGGUCUGGGAAAGAUAUUGUUUCGGUGGGGGAUGGGCUCGCGGCCUAUCAGCUUGUUGGUGGGGUGAUGGCCUACCAAGGCGGUGACGGGUAGCCGGCGUGAGAGGGUGGACGGUCACACAGGGACUGAGACACGGCCAGGACUCCUACGGGAGGCAGCAGUGGGGAAUAUUGCACAGUGGGCGCAAGCCUGAUGCAGCGACGCCGCGUGAGGGAUGGAGGCCUUCGGGUUGUGAACCUCUUUCGCCAGUGAAGCAGGCCUGCCUCGUUUGUGGGUGGGUUGACGGUAGCUGGAUAAGAAGCGCCGGCUAACUACGUG
This 494-nucleotide ribosomal RNA is filed under the name uncultured bacterium. RNAcentral describes it as "partial 16S ribosomal RNA". It matches the Rfam family "Bacterial small subunit ribosomal RNA", at positions 28 to 507 of the family's 1533-position model. The record is from RNAcentral.